This 72-nucleotide transfer RNA is filed under the name Methanobacteriota archaeon. RNAcentral's name for it is "Euryarchaeota archaeon tRNA-Arg". It matches the Rfam family "tRNA". From Rfam's summary of the family: Transfer RNA (tRNA) molecules are approximately 80 nucleotides in length. Their secondary structure includes four short double-helical elements and three loops (D, anti-codon, and T loops). Further hydrogen bonds mediate the characteristic L-shaped molecular structure. tRNAs have two regions of fundamental functional importance: the anti-codon, which is responsible for specific mRNA codon recognition, and the 3' end, to which the tRNAs corresponding amino acid is attached (by aminoacyl-tRNA synthetases). tRNAs cope with the degeneracy of the genetic code in two manners: having more than one tRNA (with a specific anti-codon) for a particular amino acid; and 'wobble' base-pairing, i.e. permitting non-standard base-pairing at the 3rd anti-codon position. Lineage: Archaea; Methanobacteriati; Methanobacteriota. The record is from RNAcentral.
GGCCCCGUGGUGUAAUGGAUAGCAUAUGAGGUUCCGAACCUCAUGACCCGGGUUCGACUCCCGGCGGGGCCG